GAUGAACGCUGGCGGCGUGCCUAAUACAUGCAAGUCGAGCGAACGGACGAGAAGCUUGCUUCUCUGAUGUUAGCGGUGGACGGGUGAGUAACACGUGGAUAACCUACCUAUAAGACUGGGAUAACUUCGGGAAACCGGAGCUAAUACCGGAUAAUAUUUUGAACCGCAUGGUUCAAAAGUGAAAGACGGUCUUGCUGUCACUUAUAGAUGGAUCCGCGCUGCAUUAGCUAGUUGGUAAGGUAACGGCUUACCAAGGCAACGAUGCAUAGCCGACCUGAGAGGGUGAUCGGCCACACUGGAACUGAGACACGGUCCAGACUCCUACGGGAGGCAGCAGUAGGGAAUCUUCCGCAAUGGGCGAAAGCCUGACGGAGCAACGCCGCGUGAGUGAUGAAGGUCUUCGGAUCGUAAAACUCUGUUAUUAGUGAAGAACAUAUGUGUAAGUAACUGUGCACAUCUUGACGGUACCUAAUCAGAAAGCCACGGCUAACUACGUG
Molecule: ribosomal RNA, 497 nt
Filed under: uncultured bacterium
Lineage: Bacteria
Description: partial 16S ribosomal RNA
Rfam family: Bacterial small subunit ribosomal RNA
Source: RNAcentral